This 460-nucleotide ribosomal RNA is filed under the name uncultured bacterium. RNAcentral describes it as "partial 16S ribosomal RNA". It matches the Rfam family "Bacterial small subunit ribosomal RNA", at positions 338 to 795 of the family's 1533-position model. The record is from RNAcentral.
CCUACGGGAGGCAGCAGUGAGGAAUAUUGGUCAAUGGACGAGAGUCUGAACCAGCCAAGUAGCGUGAAGGAUGACUGCCCUAUGGGUUGUAAACUUCUUUUAUAUGGGAAUAAAAUGUUCCACGUGUGGGAUUUUGUAUGGACCAUAUGAAUAAGGAUCGGCUAACUCCGUGCCAGCAGCCGCGGUAAUACGGAGGAUCCGAGCGUUAUCCGGAUUUAUUGGGGUUAAAGGGAGCGUAGGUGGAUUGUUAAGUCAGUUGUGAAAGUUUGCGGCUCAACCGUAAAAUUGCAGUUGAAACUGGCAGUCUUGAGGACAGUAGAGGUGGGCGGAAUUCGUGGUGUAGCGGUGAAAUGCUUAGAUAUCACGAAGAACUCCGAUUGCGAAGGCAGUUCACUGGACUGCAACUGACACUGAGGCUCGAAAGUGUGGGUAUCAAACAGGAUUAGAUACCCGAGUAGUC